This 228-nucleotide ribosomal RNA is filed under the name uncultured bacterium. Its description in RNAcentral is "partial 16S ribosomal RNA". It matches the Rfam family "Bacterial small subunit ribosomal RNA", at positions 568 to 795 of the family's 1533-position model. The record is from RNAcentral.
CGCGUAGGUGGUUUGAUAAGUUGGAUGUGAAAUCCCCGGGCUUAACCUGGGUCGGUCAUCCAAAACUGUCAGACUAGAGUAUGGUAGAGGGUAGUGGAAUUCCUAGUGUAGCGGUGAAAUGCGUAGAUAUUAGGAGGAACACCAGUGGCGAAGGCGACUGCCUGGACUGAUACUGACACUGAGGUGCGAAAGCGUGGGUAGCGAACAGGAUUAGAUACCCUGGUAGUC